CAUUUUUGAAAAUCGGAAGGUCCGGGGCCAAGUGUGGUUGCAGCUGCGAUGGCAACCUUUGCCGUGGAACCCCAGGCGCCCUCGUUGGGAUCUGAACCAAUGAUGCUAGGUUCACCCACAUCUCCAAAACCAGGGGUUAAUGCCCAGUUCUUACCUGGAUUUUUAAUGGGAGAUUUGCCAGCUCCAGUGACUCCACAACCUCGAUCUGUCAGUGGCCCUUCAGUGGGAGUAAUGGAAAUGAGAUCACCUUUACUUGCAGGUGGAUCACCACCACAACCAGUUGUGCCCGCUCAUAAAGAUAAAAGUGGAGCCCCACCAGUUAGAAGUAUAUAUGAUGAUAUUUCCAGUCCAGGACUUGGAUCAACACCUUUAACUUCAAGAAGACAGCCAAACAUUUCAGUAAUGCAGAGUCCUCUUGUUGGAGUUAUGACGACUACUCCUACUCCUGGAACAGGGCAAAGUAUGUUUAGUCCAGCAAACAUUGGUCAGCCACGAAAGACAACAUUAUCUCCUGCACAGUUGGAUCCAUUUUAUACUCAAGGAGAUUCUCUGACUUCUGAAGAUCACCUCGAUGACACUUGGGUAACUGUGUUCGGGUUUCCUCAAGCAUCUGCUUCCUAUAUAUUAUUACAAUUUGCACAGUAUGGGAAUAUCUUAAAACAUGUGAUGUCUAACACAGGAAAUUGGAUGCAUAUUCGUUAUCAAUCUAAACUGCAGGCUCGGAAAGCCUUAAGCAAAGAUGGAAGGAUUUUUGGAGAGUCCAUCAUGAUUGGUGUAAAACCAUGUAUAGAUAAAAGUGUUAUGGAAAACCAUGACAGGUGUGCUUUGUCAUCUCCACCUCUAGCCUUUACACCACCAAUCAAAACUGUAGGCACACCAACCCAGCCUGGAAGUGCUCCUAGGAUUUCUACCAUGAGACCUCUUGCUACAGCAUACAAAGCUUCUACUAGUGACUAUCAGGUUAUUUCUGACAGACAGACGCCAAAAAAAGAUGAAAGUCUUGUAUCCAAAGCAAUGGAGUACAUGUUCGGCUGGUAGUAUAGUAAGAGCUAAGAAUCACCUACCACGGAGGAGGCUGCUACACUAAAACAGAGUUAGCCCAGUACUGCCAGCUUGCCUUUGUUUGCAGGAAUUCAGGAAACAUGUUUUCCUUGAGUGCUUCCUGAGAAAUGGACCACAGAAUGUGCUCAGAUGAGCUAAGUAACUGGAAAGCUGUUGACACAAAGUCUUUGGUGAGCAUUAAAUUUGACAUCACAUCAUGACCAAAGUGCUGACCAGGUUCAUUGCUUGAAGCUUAAUCCGCUGGGUGGAUUUCCCCUCAUUACUUUCAAGUCCACUCUGUGUCUAAUAUGGCAUCAGUCAGUGUGGUUGGCCUAUAGCAAGCUGAUCCUUCUGUGAAUAAAGCCUGGAUUUCCUUUCCCCUAUUGGCUGAUGGUAGAGAACUCCAAUUAAGCCAUAGAUUGUGAAAGGGAGAGGUGUCAGUACCUUGGAGGUAAGUGAUUUAGAGUUCUGGGCCACUUUUUCUUGAAACUUGGGAGCCUGUGGACCUGCUUGGGAGCCAUCCUGAAUGUACCAUGGAUUAUUACCAUGCUGGCCAGGCUGGUGGCUUGGUGAAUCUGACAGUACUGAGCUUUUGUGAUGGGCAGCUUUGGUGACAUGGUUGAUAUACUAUGUAACUGAUUAGUUACUAAGUCACUUGGUGUGGUACCCUCUCUCACUGUGGCCCCACUAAAACUUAGGAAUAGGUUAAAGCAUUGUCCCCAUGUAUUUUGUGUUGUCUCAGAAAUCCAGAAGGCUGCCGAGUGCUGUAGCUUUUUUAGUGGUAGUAGGAGCAAGAUACAAUAAUUUAUUCUUUGGAGAGAGAUGUCUCAGCAUGCCCCAGUGGUAGAACUUCAUAACUUCACCAAUGUAGUAAAACUGAGUUUUUGUGCUUUACCUCCUACCAACUGGCAUACAUUUGUCUUUAGAGGAUGUCUUGAGUAUUUGCCACUUACCUUCUUGCAGGUUUAGUGAACAUGAUGCCAUCAAUGCACACUAUUUGAAUAAUCAAGAGUUCUCUGACUGGAAGACAGAUUUGACCACUGUUAGACAGGGGUGGGCCAGGGCUCCAUUUAUCACCAGACCUUAUGGCCUCAUGCUAACAGGAACCAUGAGAACAUCUGGGUUCAUCAGUGUCACCCUAUGACCUUGUAUUAGCCCCUAAAAUCUCUGGAUAUUUCUCUUUGGUGCACUUUGAAAAAUGAAGACUCUGGAGAAUUGCUACUGUAUAUACUUACUAUGGCAUUGAAAAUUCCUUUCUCAGUUGGAACUUGCCUCCCAUUUCAUUUGGGUCUAACAGUUGAAUCCUAUCUGUACACUGGGCUGUGGGGUGGCUGACCUCAGUCUUCUGCAUAUCUGGUCUUGAUCUUUUUAGAUUGUAUGUAAAACAAAACCUCUUUUGGCUUCUUUUCCCUUUCUCCUUUUUAAGAAACAUUUAGUUGCCCAAGAAGACAUAAAUACAGAACAUUAAAAUACACUUUAAUGAAUUAUAAGGUGAAUAAUCUUGUAACUACCACUCAUCAAGAAACAGAAUCUUAACCGGCAAUGUCCAUAUGCCCCAUUCCAACUUCUAUCCUCUUCUUCCCCCACAAAAUUAAACACUACUAUAAUUGUAUUUUUUGUAGGUCCAGGUAGUAGGCUUUAAAGGAGUUGGGAUUUCUACCUGAUGUAGAAAGCUGGUGAAAGUUAAAAUUCUUAAUGAGGUGGUAACAUUUUUGAAUGUUAAUGAAGCAAAAGUAUAGCUGUUGUAACUCCAAAAUCCAGUUUUGGAAAUUAACUGGUUAGUAAAUAAGUUGGAUGUAUAUUAUUUUAACUUACAAUUUUUUUACAUUUUAUUUUUACUUUUUUAAAAUUUACAUCCAAAUUAGCAUGUAAUGCAACAAUAAUUUCAGGAGUAGAUUUUUUAGUGCCCCUUACCCAUUUAGCCCAUCCCCCUCCCACAACUCCUCUAGUAACCCUCAGUUCUCCAUAUUUAUGAGUCUCUUCUGUUUUGUUCCCCUCCCUGUUUUUAUAUUAUUUUUGUUUCCCUUCCCUUAUGUUAAUCUGUUUUGUCUCUUAAAGUCCUCAUAUGAGUGAAGUCAUGUGAUUUUUGUCUUUCUCCAACUGACUAAUUUCACUUAGCAUAAUACCCUCCAGUUCCAUCCACGUAGUUGCAAAUGGCAAGAUUUCAUUCUUUUUGAUU
Panthera uncia (snow leopard) is the source of this 3220-nucleotide RNA transcript. It is a transcript of the gene named nucleoporin 35, with no coding region annotated. The transcript has 10 exons. The record is from RefSeq and is a predicted model, not a curated record. NCBI's taxonomy places the organism in Eukaryota, Metazoa, Chordata, Mammalia, Carnivora, Felidae.